GAUGAACGCUAGCUACAGGCUUAACACAUGCAAGUCGAGGGGAAACGAUAGAGAAAGCUUGCUUUUUCUAGGCGUCGACCGGCGCACGGGUGAGUAACGCGUAUCCAACCUGCCCACCACUUGGGGAUAACCUUGCGAAAGUAAGACUAAUACCCAAUGAUAUCUCAAGAAGACAUCUGAAUGAGAUUAAAGAUUUAUCGGUGAUGGAUGGGGAUGCGUCUGAUUAGCUUGUUGGCGGGGUAACGGCCCACCAAGGCGACGAUCAGUAGGGGUUCUGAGAGGAAGGUCCCCCACAUUGGAACUGAGACACGGUCCAAACUCCUACGGGAGGCAGCAGUGAGGAAUAUUGGUCAAUGGGCGAGAGCCUGAACCAGCCAAGUAGCGUGCAGGAUGACGGCCCUAUGGGUUGUAAACUGCUUUUAUAAGGGAAUAAAGUGAGUCUCGUGAGGCUUUUUGCAUGUACCUUAUGAAUAAGGACCGGCUAAUUCCGUGCCAGCCGCCGCCGUAA
RNAcentral lists this ribosomal RNA (508 nucleotides) under uncultured bacterium. Its description in RNAcentral is "partial 16S ribosomal RNA". It matches the Rfam family "Bacterial small subunit ribosomal RNA", at positions 28 to 523 of the family's 1533-position model. The record is from RNAcentral.